RNAcentral lists this ribosomal RNA (477 nucleotides) under uncultured bacterium. RNAcentral describes it as "partial 16S ribosomal RNA". It matches the Rfam family "Bacterial small subunit ribosomal RNA", at positions 28 to 506 of the family's 1533-position model. The record is from RNAcentral.
GAUGAACGCUGGCGGCGUGCCUAACACAUGCAAGUCGAACGGAGUCCAGCCUUUAAGACCUUCGGGUCAAAGAGGGGAAGACUGAGUGGCGGACGGGUGAGUAACACGUGGGCAACCUGGCUCAUAGAGGGGGAUAACAGAGAGAAAUUUCUGCUAAUACCGCAUAAGCACACACUGCCGCAUGGCAGAGGGUGAAAAGAGAAUCGCUAUGAGAUGGACCCGCGUCUGAUUAGCCAGUUGGCAGGGUAAGAGCCUACCAAAGCGACGAUCAGUAGCCGAUCUGAGAGGAUGAACGGCCACAUUGGGACUGAGACACGGCCCAAACUCCUACGGGAGGCAGCAGUGGGGGAUAUUGCACAAUGGGGGGAACCCUGAUGCAGCGACGCCGCGUGAGUGAAGAAGUAUUUCGGUAUGCAAAGCUCUAUCAGCAGGGAAGAUAAUGACAGUACCUGAAUAAGAAGCCCCGGCUAACUACGU